GCGCUCCACCAAUCCUUCGCACGCCUCCUCCUCUCCCAAAUCCCCAAUCCCGUCGCUCGGUUCCUCCUCCCCAAUCCCAGGCCUCGCACGGCGCCCCAUUCCCCGACGCUCCUCUCCAUCGGCGGCAUCCUCUGCUUCGCGCCGCCACCCCGUCGUCAUCGCUAGGGCCGCCUCCCCUUCCCGCCCCUUCCUUCCUCAGCCGCGCGUCGUCGUCCCCACCCCGACGCUCGCCGUCAUAGCCUUCUUCGUCGAGUCAGCGCUCGAGGACGCGGAGCAGAAGCCCUCCACAGGGGCACUCUUUUGCUUUCCAUUGUCUGCCUAAUCACCUUACUCCAUCCUUGACCAGGAGAAGCACAAGACACCGCCUCUUCUCCCCCACCAUACCCCAACAAUAUGCCCCCAAUCCCAUGUUGUUCCUCGUUUUUUCACCGUCGGCUGGAUGCCUAGGAGGAAGGAGGACUGGUGGCCUGGCUUCAACGGGAUUAGAAGGAGGCGGAUUUUGGCAUGGCCCGUACAAUCGCCAAGAUGGCGCCGAUCGCCGGAGUUGCUGUUCGUUCUAUCUCCCCAGGUGAGCUCUUCCUUCUCGUUCCUUCCUCCCAAUUUCAGUUCCUCUUCCCAUAGAGAAGAAGGAGGCUCUGCCAAGCCAUGGACUUGCUGCCACCAACCCUCACCGGCCUCCUCCCUCCUCUCCCUACACCCUCGUGAGCUUUCCCUUUUUUAUUUUGAUUUACUCUCAUGGUCACCUCCCUUUCAGUUUGUUGCCUGCCAACUGUUUGUUGUUAUGCCCGUGCAAGUUGUCUUUUCAUAUAUUUGUUGGUAUACCCAUGUAGGCCUGUAUACUCCUAGUCAUGUUGAAGAUUGAGGGUUUGUGUAGCUUCUAGGCCAAGAAGCCGAGAGGGGUUUUCUUCUUUGAGUCGCCGGAACCAAGCGACAACGUGCUGCAGACUUUCUGGUCUUCUAUACAAGAGAAAUCAAAUGAAUAUGUUUAGUUUCUAAACUUUUCUUCAUUUUUAAAUAGAACUGCUUACUUAGACGCCGAUAUAUUUCUUUACAUGAAUCGGCACUAUGCUCUUAUGCUUUUAGUUAUACAUAUUUUUUUUGUUGGUCAGGUUUUCAAGUUUCAACCAUUCUUACUUUGAAAUGAUUCUUUAGUUAGUUAUAAAUAUAGAAAAUUUGAUGCCUGGUAUACAUAUUUUUUAUGGUAUAUUGUGUCAGUUAAGGGAUCUCUUAUUUUUCUUGGUGUGCUACAUAGGUAUAUGUAGAUUUACUUUGUUCCAGUGCCUGCUUUUGAUCACAGGAAACUAAAAAGACAAAAGAUACUUCACAUGCAACAUCUUAUACUAUUUGAAGUUAUUUUGCAGACAUCGUUAGAUAUUUUUAUUCGCUGUUCUGUUUAGAUAAAUAACCAAUUAAAUGAUUUAAUAUACUUUUUUGUUUUUUGAACUGGGUAAAGAAAGUACGUUGCACUUUCUUAUAGUCUAUUGGCUGGCACUGCAAAUUUUUUUGUCUUCUAGAGCGACAUAGAACGUGAUAUGCUUCUUUAACUGUACAUGUUGUCUAUAUUUUGCCUCUUUAACACCCUCUUUUUCUAUCGAUCCUCAGAUGGUUCAGCUUCAAAAGCACCAAAAAUUUAUGUCAAUACAUGGCACUUCUUAUGUCUUGCCUACGUUUGAAGUGUUGGAGUUCUUAAAUUCUUGAUGAAGAGGAUUUUGGAGGUACGUGCCACCGGUGCUCGUGGCGCUUAAUUAACUGCAGCAGCAGAACUUGGAUUAUUAAUGCAGAUGAACCCUCUGUUUCAGAAAGCUAUGGUUGGCUUCCUUUUGCAUGAACAACAUUCACUAUCUUUUUCCAUGCAUCUAUCUGCUCAUGAUUGUAUAUUCCAGGGACAUGAGGAAACCUAUUCAGCAAUGGUUUGUUAGCUAAGCAUCUAAAUUCGCGCUAGAAAGCUAACGGAAACUUGCUGAAUGUCCAUCAGGUGUGAAAAUCAAAAGAACCUCUACAUAACAUAAUUUAUAGUGGUAUAAUAUAGAGGGGAGCUCAUGGAGCCACCUGGUAAAUCGGAAUUUACCGAUUGUAGGUCUCGCUUCCAAGUUCCAACAGAGGAGAGCUCAUGUGAUUUGACAAUGCCCAAAAACGUUUUAACAUUUUCCACAUGAUUUUUACUGCAUAAAGUUUAAAUCGGCGCGAACUUCACGGGAUCGUGCGCCAAGGCGCACAUCUAUCUCUAUGACAUUCUUUACAAGCAGUUUAUUGCAUAUUUUUGAAUUCAGAUUGUAUCUGAACCCGCAAGCAAUAUGUCCAUGCUUUUGAACCAGCAAGAUGUUGUUAGUGUUGCUUUUGGACCUGAAGCUUGCUCUGUAAUCUGUAGUAAUAAGGCAUUGCCAAAUUUAGCACUGCUUUUACUGUAGAGUUUUUCUUAACCUGGCUAUCAAAUUUCAGUGUGUUUCUGUAAGUAACAAUUAACAGUAGUAGUACCACUGUGUAAGUCACCAUAUUCUGUUGUAGGAUUACUGUUCUUAGACCAUCAUUUUAUCCAUGCAUCGGAUCUUGGCUUUAAGCGGUUUCAGUCACAGAGUACUCGAAGCCAAGAUCCGAUGCGGAUAUUUGUGGUGGCCUGAAGAUCCCCGUUGCAAUAAAAACCACAUCCUGUGGAAGUAAAGAAUCUGAUCAAAUCACCGUUUCAAUUCUUUUAGUAGCCUUUCAUAGUUUUAAGAAACUCUUCCAGUUGGAAAAGCAAAUGUUAAGUAAAUGAACUGGGACAGUUUUCUAUAGCAAACAUUAUGGGACCAAGUGCCAGAUUUUACAGUACAAGUCAACCAAUUUAAUAAGUAUGCAGCUCAAAACUUCAUAACUGUUGCUUUUGUAUCUUCUGUAAUCCUUCAUUGUGCAUGCCAGAUAUUCUCUUUUGUUAUUUUUAUCGGAUGGUUCUGUUGUAUUGUGCAUGCCAGAUUAUUUGUUAUGUAUGCCCGAGGUGAUGAGAAAAAAAAUCCAAGUAGGAUGCAUGGGAAAUGAAUUUAUUCGUGUGCUUUGUUGUCUACAUACUAAUUCGUUUAUUUCUGAAAUUUAGCUCUGUUUUGUGACCUGUCCAUGCAUGGUAUCAUCGAUAAUAUAUGAGUAAACUCUAGGGAAAAUAUGUUUGUGUUGGAUUGUUUUGAAGCUCAUGUUUCUGUUAAUUUUGUGAACAUUCAGACUUUUGUCCGAUGUUAUAUCUGAAUGUGUUUAUUUCAUAAGGUCUUGCUAUUUUCUGAAAUCAUUUGUCAGAUUUGAAGUCAGUGGUCUAAUUUCAUAUAUGUUUAUUGAAGAGAGACAAGUAAACAGAGCCAAGGAGAGAUGCCACCGAUUCGCACGUGUUGGAGCAUUUCUCGGAUGGCUUGACUAUGAAGUCCACAUUGUAGUGAUUUUCCCUUCAUGUAUUAUUGAAAAUUGACCUUAGUGAAUUGUAGCUUUGCAGAUGUGCUUACCAAAUCUGCAACAGGUAAUGAAUUUUACUUGGCAUAUAGAUUCUGCUUAUAGUAAGUAUUCUCCUCAUGAUUUUCUUAGUAUUUGACAUGAAGUUCAUGUUGAAAGAACUAAAGUGGUGAUUUUAAAUCCCUUCAAAAAGUGGUGAUUUUAAAGCAUAAGCUUUAAUUUUCAUCUGAUGCACUCAAACUGUGUUUGGUUCUCUACAUAGUUGUCGAAGCAUAUGAGGGGUGUGGUUAUAUAUAUAAGAAAUUGAUAGCAUAGUUUAUAGUUUUUUGCUUCUAUUGUUUGUUCUUUUUAUUUGAGGUAAUCUCUCCCUUUCCUCUCCUUGUUUUGUCAUGCUAGGUCUCCUAGGUCAGAGCCACGGUGCAGGAGCUCAGGUUUCGGUGGAGAGAUGAUACAGUGAUGAGAAGAUGUGCCCAGCAGCUAGCUAUAGUGGAGAAUUGAUUCGUUCGAUCUCCUCACCCCUGGCCUUCUACAGAGAAGGCGCUCUUGCUAACCCGCUGUUCCCUACCAAGGAAGCUCUCGGGAGGAUUGGUCGUGGUGCCACUUGGAUUCCUACUUUUUAAGUUCCUAUUUUUUUUAUCUUAAGUUCGUAUUAGAUGGUGUUUCUCACAUCUACCAUAUAGUGUCUGUUAUUCUGCAAGUACUCUGUACACAUAAAUAUCAGCAGACACAACCAGCCUCUUGAUAUGAAUUGCUCUGAUGAGCAUCUUAUGUGGCGGAUAAGACUCACUACAGUAGUACAUUUCUACUACAUUAUUGGUAUGGUAUAUAAGUUCAAUUGAAUGCUCCUUUCUAGGCCUUAACGACAACAAUCAAAUACCUGCAAAAUAGUUUUUCCAUAUGUGCAUUUCAAUGAUUAAUAUAUUCAGGCGCUCUCGCGAACCUGCUGUUCCCUUCCAGUAUUCCCUGUAGAAAGAAGAUUGUAGAGCUUUCUUGUAAAUCUUAACAAUUAAAGCCAUUUGCUAUAUAAAUGUAGAGAGCAUAUUUAUUACUGCAACAGGAAUACUAUACUGCUAACCUCUUGGUUUUAGCUGCAUAAGGUGUGAACUCAUUUUAGUCCUCAAAUACAUGCUCUUAUAAAGAAAACAAUCAGUUUAUAGCCUGCCAAUUUCUGACUCUGUUUGAUUUCUUAGCUGACACUCGUGUACGAAGUCGGUGCCCUACCGACAAAGGUGGUACAACUCUCACCAGAUGACCUUAGAGACGAGAGCACAAUAACAUACUGGAAGAUAUGACGCUAGAAGCACACAAAUAAGCUAACCUGGUGCAAGCUGUGAUUCCAUGACCCAUCCCCACUGUUACCCUGUUCCUGGAAUUGGCAAGGUGUUUUUGAAGUAUGCAGUCGCUUUCCUGCAGUCCUACACGCCUACCGACUCAUACAAGACAUAUGAUAUGUUGUGUUCUUUUGCUCCGCUUCGUCAACUAAUAAUUUUUGAAAUGGAUAAUUAUUCAAUUUUUAUUUAGUACUUGCUGAUGUUUCCAAAUGUAUAUAAAAUAAAUAUUGACACAAUCUUUACGGGUUCGUGCGCCAAGGCGCACAUCAAAAUCUAGUA
Non-coding RNA from Lolium perenne, 5018 nucleotides. The record is from RefSeq and is a predicted model, not a curated record. NCBI's taxonomy places the organism in Eukaryota, Viridiplantae, Streptophyta, Magnoliopsida, Poales, Poaceae.